RNAcentral lists this ribosomal RNA (371 nucleotides) under uncultured organism. Its description in RNAcentral is "bacterial SSU rRNA". It matches the Rfam family "Bacterial small subunit ribosomal RNA", at positions 526 to 896 of the family's 1533-position model. The record is from RNAcentral.
CGAGGGGGGCAAAUGUUGUUCGGAAUCACUGGGCGUAAAGGGAGCGUAGGCGGGUUCUUAAGUAAGGUGUUUAAUCCCGGGGCCCAACCCCGGACCGGCACUUUAAACUGGGAAUCUUGAAUAGUGGAGAGGUCAGUGGAAUUGGGGGUGUAGCGGUGGAAUGCGUAGAGAUCCCCAAGAACACCAGUUGCGAAGGCGGCUGACUGGACACAUAUUGACGCUGAGGCUCGAAAGCAUGGGGAGCAAACAGGAUUAGAUACCCUGGUAGUCCAUGCCAUAAACGAUGAAUACUAGGUUUUGGGCCCGUCAACGGUCCAGAGCCGCAGCUAACGCGUUAAGUAUUCCGCCUGGGGAGUACGGUCGCAAGACUG